AGUGAACGCUGGCGGUAGGCCUAACACAUGCAAGUCGAACGGCAGCACCGUCAGAGCUUGCUCUUACGGGUGGCGAGUGGCGGACGGGCGCGGAAUACAUCGGAACCUACUUUUUCGUGGGGGAUAACGUAGGGAAACUUACGCUAAUACCGCAUUCGUCCUACGGGUGAAAGCAUGGGAUCUUCGGACCUUGCGCGAUUGAAUGAGCCGAUGUCGGAUUAGCUAGUUGGCGGGGUAAAGGCCCACCAAGGCGACGAUCCGUAGCUGGUCUGAGAGGAUGAUCAGCGACACUGGAAGUGAGACACGGUCCAGACUCCUACGAGAGGCAGCAGUGGGGAAUAUUGGACAAUGGGCGCGAGUCUGAUCCAGCCAUACCGCGUGUGUGAAGAAGGCGUUCGGGUUGUAAAGCCCUUUUGUUGGGAGAGAAAAGCAGCAGGUUAAUACCCCGCGGUUCUGACGGUACCCAAAGAAUAAGCACCGGCUAACUUCGUG
Molecule: ribosomal RNA, 492 nt
Filed under: uncultured bacterium
Lineage: Bacteria
Description: partial 16S ribosomal RNA
Rfam family: Bacterial small subunit ribosomal RNA
Source: RNAcentral